RNAcentral lists this ribosomal RNA (394 nucleotides) under uncultured bacterium. Its description in RNAcentral is "bacterial SSU rRNA". It matches the Rfam family "Bacterial small subunit ribosomal RNA", at positions 355 to 766 of the family's 1533-position model. The record is from RNAcentral.
UGGGGAAUAUUGGACAAUGGGCGAAAGCCUGAUCCAGCCAUGCCGCGUGAGUGAUGAAGGCCCUAGGGUUGUAAAGCUCUUUUGUGCGGGAAGAUAAUGACGGUACCUCAAGAAUAAGCCCCGGCUAACUUCGUGCCAGCAGCCGCGGUAAUACGAAGGGGGCUAGCGUUGCUCGGAAUCACUGGGCGUAAAGGGUGCGUAGGCGGGUUUCUAAGUCAGAGGUGAAAGCCUGGAGCUCAACUCCAGAACUGCCUUUGAUACUGGAAGUCUUGAGUUCGGGAGAGGUGAGUGGAACUGCGAGUGUAGAGGUGAAAUUCGUAGAUAUUCGCAAGAACACCAGUGGCGAAGGCGGCUCACUGGCCCGAUACUGACGCUGGGGCACGAAAGCGUGGGG